CGACGUAAGAAACUUGCCUCACAGCUAGGGACGAAAUUUAGAAAUGAAUGCUAAUACCUGAUAUUAUGACUUUAAGGCAUCUUAGAAUUAUGAAAGCUAUAAGCACUGUGAGAGAGCUUUGCGUCCCAUUAGCUAGUUGGAGAGGUAACAGCUCACCAAGGCGAUGAUGGGUAGCCGGCCUGAGAGGGUGAACGGCCACAAGGGAACUGAGACACGGCCCUU
This 222-nucleotide ribosomal RNA is filed under the name uncultured bacterium. RNAcentral describes it as "partial 16S ribosomal RNA". It matches the Rfam family "Bacterial small subunit ribosomal RNA", at positions 113 to 334 of the family's 1533-position model. The record is from RNAcentral.